UCAUCUCUUUUUAUGACUGCAAUCUGCUGUGUACGGAGCGUUUCCCACCCGCGUUUCACCUACAUUAUGUCUUAUCUGAUUUAGAAGGGCCCAGAGGGACUGUGUCCCGCCCCCUCCCAACCCCUCGCCUCAGAAGAUCUAGAGCUGGUGCUGCCUCUGGGGUUGUCAGACUCAGCUGUGCUUCAUAAAGGCCUGGGCUGGGCCUUUAAAUUUUUUUGUAACUGUAGUGCCACAGGAUUCCUGAGUUUCACCCACACGCGGCUCCCUCCCUGAGCCCCAGCUGGCUGCCAACACCUACACCAACAAGCUAACCCCCAGCAUCACCGCCCUUGGGGCUGUGUCGAAACUCACACCACACACCCCCACACCAAUCUUUGCUCUGGAAGAAGAGCAAAGGGUCUCGGCCUUGACUUGGGGAUCAGGAAACAGAAGCUGCCCCGUAGCAAGAAGGGGAGGAUGAUGGUUGUUCAUACAGGGCACUGUGCAUCGGAAUCAUGGGAGAGCCCUUCCAAGUAUGAGUCCUGUUUCCUUCCCUGGCUGGGAGAUGAGAAUGGAGUUCACAGAAGGUAGCUAUGGAUUUCCAGUGAACCUCCCUGGGACGUUCUGUUCUCGAUGUCCCCGCAGGUUUGGAAACGGUAGUAUUACUAAACACCUGGACCUAUUCUUCAUUAAAAAGGUUAGAUUGAGGGGUUGGGGAUUUAGCUCAGUGGUAGAGCGCUUGCCUAGGAAGCGCAAGGCCCUGGGUUCAGUCCCCAGCUCCGAAAAAAAGAACCAAAAAAAAA
Molecule: long non-coding RNA, 782 nt
Filed under: Rattus norvegicus (Norway rat)
Lineage: Eukaryota; Metazoa; Chordata; Mammalia; Rodentia; Muridae
Description: long non-coding RNA NONRATT014244
Rfam family: tRNA (bases 693-755)
Source: RNAcentral